Molecule: long non-coding RNA, 673 nt
Filed under: Homo sapiens (human)
Lineage: Eukaryota; Metazoa; Chordata; Mammalia; Primates; Hominidae
Description: non-protein coding lnc-LIPI-4:4
Source: RNAcentral
AAGAUUACGCUAUUUCUUGCCGUUUGACAAAGACCUCCUGCAAAACAUCCUUCCUUGAAGCCUAGCACUGAAAUGGAAGAUCCUGCUGUGAAAGGAGCAGUACAAAGAAAGAAUGUACAGACAUUGAGAGCAGAAAAAGCCUUACCAGUGGCUUCAGAGGAAGAGCAACAAAGGCGUGAAAGAAGUGAAAAGAAGCAACCACAGGUCAAAGAAGGAAAUAAUACAUACAAAAGUGAAAAAAUACAACUAUCAGAAAAUAUAUGUCAUAGUACAUCUUCUUCUGCUGCUGACAGAUUAACCCAACAAAGAAAGAUUGGGAAAACAUAACCUCAGCAAUUUCCCAAGAAACUGAAGGAAGAGCAUGAUAGAUGCACCUUAAAACAAGAAAAUGAAGAAAAAACAAAUGUUAAUAUGCUGUACAAAAAAAAAAAAGAGAAGAAUUAGAAAGGAAAGAGAAACAAUAUAAGAAAGAAGUUGAAGCAAAAUAAUUUGAACCAACUGUUCAAUCACUAGAGAUGAAACCGAAGACUGCAAGAAAUACUCCAAAUCAGGAUUUUCAUAAUCAUGAAGAAGUGAAAGAUCUGACGGAUGAAAAUUGCAUUUUGAAGACAGAUAUUGCUAUACCCAGACAGGAAAUAUGCACAAUGAAAAAUGACAACCUGGAAAAAGAAAA